RNAcentral lists this ribosomal RNA (487 nucleotides) under Stenocorynus sp. 1 MVD-2017. RNAcentral's name for it is "partial 16S ribosomal RNA". It matches the Rfam family "Bacterial large subunit ribosomal RNA", at positions 1859 to 2604 of the family's 2925-position model. The record is from RNAcentral. Lineage: Eukaryota; Metazoa; Arthropoda; Insecta; Coleoptera; Curculionidae.
CUGCCCAAUGAGAUAUUAAAUGGCCGCGGUAUUCUGACCGUGCAAAGGUAGCAUAAUCAUUAGUUUUUUAAUUGAAAGCUGGAAUGAAAGGUUGGAUAAGAAAAUAGCUGUCUCUAUUUAAAUUAUUUAAAACUUUAUUUUUAAGUAAGAAAGCUUAAAUUUUAAUAGAAGACGAGAAGACCCUAUAGAGUUUUAUAAAAUUUUAUAAAGAGGAUUUUUAGAAUAAAAUUUUUUUUUUAUUUUAUAAUAUUUAAUUGGGGUGAUUGAAAAAUUGGAAAAACUUUUUUUAUUAUAUAACAUUAAUUUAUGGUUAAUUGAUCCUUUAUUAAAGAUUAAAAGAUAAAAUUACCUUAGGGAUAACAGCGUAAUUUUUCUAAAGAGUUCAAAUCGAAAGAAAAGAUUGCGACCUCGAUGUUGGAUUAAAAUAAAAUUUUGGUGUAGAAGCUAAAGUAUUUGGGUCUGUUCGACCCUUAAAAUUUUACAUGAU